UAUGUGAUCGUCUCUCGCAUAUCAAUAAGCGGAGGAAAAGAAACUAACAAGGAUUCCCCUAGUAACGGCGAGUGAAGCGGGAAGAGCUCAAAUUUGAAAUCUUAAAGGGUUUCCCUUUACGAAUUGUAGUUUAAAGAAGUGUUUUCUGUUGAGGUUUUGGUAAAAGUUCUUUGGAAUAGGACAUCAUAGAGGGUGAGAAUCCCGUAUUUGACCUUUACUUUCAACUUUGUGAUACACUUUCAAAGAGUCGGAUUGUUUGGGAAUGCAGUCCAAAAUGGGUGGUAAAUUUCAUCUAAAGCUAAAUAUUGGCGAGAGACCGAUAGCGAACAAGUACCGUGAGGGAAAGAUGAAAAGAACUUUGAAAAGAGAGUUAAACAGUACGUGAAAUUGUCAAAAGGGAAGCGUUUGACACCAGUGUUGUUUUUCUGAAAAUCAAUUAAAGAACUGUUUAUGCUAAGCUGUUUAGACUUUAUCAGCUAUCUGUUUAGUUUUGAGCUUUUCUUUAAUGCACUUUUCAGUUAACAAGUCAACAUCAAUUUCUUUUGCUGUAAAGAAGCUUGAGGAAGGUGGCUUGAGAUUCGUCUUAAGUGUUUAUAGCCUCUUGCUUAUGCAGUCGGAGAGAUUGAGGUCUGCAGCGUAGAUCCUUCGGGGCUAAAUGCAUUUGUGCUAAGUUAUAGCAUUUUAUAGACAACUUGUUGACUAUGAUUUGUCUUGUAGCUUACUCGCUUAUGUUAUUUUACCUACGCUUAGGAUGUUGAGUAGCGACAUACGCAC
Molecule: ribosomal RNA, 774 nt
Filed under: uncultured Neocallimastigales
Lineage: Eukaryota; Fungi; Neocallimastigomycota; Neocallimastigomycetes; Neocallimastigales
Description: partial large subunit ribosomal RNA
Rfam family: Eukaryotic large subunit ribosomal RNA
Source: RNAcentral